CAGUAGCCGCGGUAAAACGGAGGGUGCAAGCGUUAAUCGGAAUUACUGGGCGUAAAGCGCACGCAGGCGGUCUGUUAAGUCAGAUGUGAAAUCCCCGAGCUUAACUUGGGAACUGCAUUUGAAACUGGCAAGCUAGAGUCUUGUAGAGGGGGGUAGAAUUCCAGGUGUAGCGGUGAAAUGCGUAGAGAUCUGGAGGAAUACCGGUGGCGAAGGCGGCCCCCUGGACAAAGACUGACGCUCAGGUGCGAAAGCGUGGGGAGCAAACAGGAUUAGAUACCCCAGUAGUCCCUGUCUCUUAUAC
This 301-nucleotide ribosomal RNA is filed under the name uncultured bacterium. RNAcentral describes it as "partial 16S ribosomal RNA". It matches the Rfam family "Bacterial small subunit ribosomal RNA", at positions 509 to 807 of the family's 1533-position model. The record is from RNAcentral.